RNAcentral lists this long non-coding RNA (646 nucleotides) under Monodelphis domestica (gray short-tailed opossum). RNAcentral's name for it is "lncRNA (ENSMODG00000048144.1)". The record is from RNAcentral. Lineage: Eukaryota; Metazoa; Chordata; Mammalia; Didelphimorphia; Didelphidae.
AUUUUACUAAAAAGACUUUAGUUUAUCCUCAUUACUAAUAAUGUUUUUGUUCUUGAUUUUACAUAGAUGCUACUUACCAUUUUAAGAGAAGCUUCAUUUACAUCUCUACUUUCUAGGUUUUUUUAGACAAGAAAGAGUAAAAAAGAAACAAACAAGAAUUGGUGGGGGUUUUGCCUAAAGCUUUUUUUAAAUCUAAAGAAAUUAUCAUAAGGUUUUUGUUGUUUUUCUUGUUGAUAUUAUCAAUUAUAUUUAUAGUUUUCCUAACAUGGAAUCAGCCCUGAAUUCCUGGUGUAAAUCCAGCUUAAUCAUAGUGUAUAUUUUUGUGAUAGGUUGUUUUAAUCUCUUUACUACUAUUUUAUUUAAAAAAUUUAUAUCAAUAUUAAUUAGAGCAAUUGAUCUGUACUUUUCUUUCUCUGUUUUGUCUCUCUCUGGUUUAGAUAUCAAGAUCAUAUUUAUCUCACAGAAGGAAUUUGCUGCCUGCAGUGUUUGUUCCUUGACUUGGAAACCUCUGGAUUGUGCAGUGUUUUUCGGUAGGUGUACAUUUUUUCCAUCUUCACUUUGUUCUCUAGUUUCAGCAGAUCUGGGAAGUUUUCAAUCAUGGCUUCCUGAAAUACAGUGUCAAGCAGCUUUGAAAGCUACAUGUUGA